Firmicutes bacterium CAG:94 is the source of this 71-nucleotide regulatory RNA element. It matches the Rfam family "pemK RNA", at positions 9 to 61 of the family's 61-position model. The record is from Rfam. Lineage: Bacteria; Bacillati; Bacillota.
ACUUCCGUCCAGCCACAGAAUCACACAAUGGGGGCGGCCGGGUGAGAACCACGCGGGGUGAGAAUCCAUGA